RNAcentral lists this ribosomal RNA (257 nucleotides) under uncultured prokaryote. RNAcentral describes it as "partial 16S ribosomal RNA". It matches the Rfam family "Bacterial small subunit ribosomal RNA", at positions 521 to 777 of the family's 1533-position model. The record is from RNAcentral.
UAAUACGUAGGUGGCAAGCGUUGUCCGGAUUUACUGGGCGUAAAGGGCGUGCAGGCGGUUUGCUAAGUCUAGGGUGAAAGCUCCCGGCUUAACUGGGAGAGGUCCUUGGAUACUGGCAGACUUGAGGAGGGUAGAGGAGAGUGGAAUUCCCGGUGUAGUGGUGAUAUGCGUAGAUAUCGGGAGGAACACCAGUGGCGAAGGCGGCUCUCUGGGCCCUACCUGACGCUGAGACGCGAAAGCGUGGGGAGCGAACCGGA